CCUACGGGUGGCAGCAGUGAGGAAUAUUGGUCAAUGGCCGAGAGGCUGAACCAGCCAAGUCGCGUGAGGGAAGACGGCCCUACGGGUUGUAAACCUCUUUUGUCGGGGAGCCAAGCGAACCAAGUGUGGUUCAUUGAGAGUACCCGAAGAAAAAGCAUAGGCUCACUCCGUUCCCGCAGCCGCGGUAAUACGGAGGGUGCGAGCGUUAGCCGGAUUUAUUGGUUUUAAAGGGGGCGCAGUCGGGGGUGCAACUCAGCGGUCAAAUUGCGGGGCUCAACCCCGUACUGCCGUUGAAACUGCAUCCCUUGAGUGCGCGAGAAGUAUGCGGAAGGCGUGGUGUAGCGGUGAAAUGCAUAGAUAUCACGCAGAACUCCGAUUGCGAAGGCAGCAGACCGGCGCGCAACUGACGCUCAUGCACGAAAGCGUGGGUAGCGAACAGGAUUAGAUACCCUUGUAGUC
Molecule: ribosomal RNA, 459 nt
Filed under: uncultured bacterium
Lineage: Bacteria
Description: partial 16S ribosomal RNA
Rfam family: Bacterial small subunit ribosomal RNA
Source: RNAcentral